This is a long non-coding RNA of Helianthus annuus (common sunflower), 1159 nucleotides long. RefSeq lists it as uncharacterized. The transcript has 3 exons. Lineage: Eukaryota; Viridiplantae; Streptophyta; Magnoliopsida; Asterales; Asteraceae. The record is from RefSeq and is a predicted model, not a curated record.
UGCGACUCAUACCGGUUCCCCUUUUGGAGACGAACGGAGUUCACUUCCGGCCACCCUGCCGCCGUUGCCGAUUCAGACGAACAUAAUAAACCUAAACGAAUAAAUAUUCGAUCUUCGAGCUUCAUAGGUUCCUUCCGUUUCAUCGAAUUGCUUUCAGCAUCACAACAACUACUUCCAACGAAAUCGAAACGGCGUUGAUGAAGAGUAGAGAGAUUUACUUGUAAUUACAGUUUUCAUUCACUUCAGGAUCAGAUUUUUAUUUAUUCAAUUAAGGGCAAAAUCUGGUAAGAAGCAAUCAUUAGAAGAUGCUGGUGGCAAAAUUGCACAUUCUGCAAUGAGCUUGCCUUAAAAUAAGUCAAAGUAGGAGAGGUAAAAGAGCAAAGAUGAAAUAUAUGACUUGGUUCACCCAGCUGUGGAUACAAGAUUGUUCGAGUAAAGGGGUAUUAGUAGAGCGGGCAAUUCUGACCCACAUGCAUAAAAUGGGUCGUUUUGGAUCUUUUUUAAAUCACCAUGGGUUGAUUUGGGUUUCUUUUUAGUAAUCAAUGGGUCUGGCUGGAUCACCCUAAAAUACAGAAAGAUUUUACGGGUCAAAACCCGUGUUUGGAAUUAAAAAGAAACAAACGGGUGGAACGGGUUAGUGGGUUCAGAAGUAAAAUGAAACAGGUGGAACUAGUUAGAAAAAAUCUCCGGUUUUUUCCUCAAAAGCUUUUCUUUUUCUUCUCUCUAAAUCUGAGAUUGUCACUCUCACACAAAAUUAGUUCUUAAAAAAUCUCACCAAACCACCAUAUUAGAAGCUUACAGAUUCUCCUCUACUCUCGUCUCCUUUUACGCACUAUCUCUGUGUUCCGGUAAACUAGCGACAGGGCCGUUCCAAUGUUUUUGGAGACCAUAAGCGAACUACGAAGUGGGGGCCUUAAUUUCACCCAUAAACUCUCCUCCAAUCCCACUGGACCCGUCGCCAUUGGUGAUUACGGUUAUUUUUUUUUUGUCUAGUAAUAGCGGAUAGCCUAGAAAUUGAAAGCAGGUUGUGAUGGGAAGUGAGAAAGAUGAUUGUGGUUGUAUUUUAGGGGCUUUAGGGCGCUGAAUAAGGAUGUUAGGUCGAUGGUUGUUGUUGUGUUGUAAUAGGUGGAAAUUAAUGCGAAAUGAGCUUUGAAACUGA